CAGGAUUUGAUUGUCACUGGUAUAUUGAUGUGGUCUGUUUACCACAAUACAGUGGAACCUUUUAUAACGUACUCUCUGAGUAGCGGACCCCUCUAUUAUAGCGGAGCAUGCAUUCCUGUAUACCAACUGAUGUACUUGCAGCCACGAUUACCGCACAUUAUUAUUUCUAUAUUAUGGACCAAUUAACCCCCCCCCAAUAAAGACCAUGCAUGACACAUCCAAAUAACAGACAAAACCCAGUCCUGCACCAACUUAUCUGUUAUUCAGAGGUUCCACUGUACACACUUUAUGCAACUACACUGCAAACAAUUUUGUUUGAAACUACAUUGCAUAGUCGUUUUAACACUAUUCUUAAACAGUUGAAUCAACUUAAUAUUUAGUAAAAUAAAAAGACAACGUUAAAAUAAUCAGUAUAUGUGGUUUUAACUUAAAAUAUUGUAGAAUCACACAAUGUCUUUUAUUUCUACAAUAAUUUACAUAGAAUCUAUUAUUGAUAUCUUAAAUCAAACUAACAAACUCAUUUUGAUUAAAUUAUAUUUGAAACUCUAUCAUGCAGCAUGUUAGAAUACAAUAUAUAAAUUUAGAUUUAACAAUAAUAAUAUUUGUUCUAACACAGGCACACAUAUAAUUAUAUACAAUCAAUAUUUUUAACAAUCCAUUUAUAAUAGCAUGAGUGAUGUGAAAUUAUAUACAGUCAUGAACAUUGUAAGGAAAUGUACAAGUUUGCAUAGAACCAUAGAUAUUAGAGGACCUAGAAACUAAAAUGAAAUUGUGGGCGUGGCUAUGCUAAGUCUAAGAUUGCGCAUGCUCAGUAGAUCUAGAGCUGUGAAACCAUGUGCUCCAAGAAAAGAGAAGACGAUUAUCCUUUCUAUAUUAUGCUGGACAUUUGCUGCUAUAAAUCUGACUGUGAUGAUACUUCUGUGAGAGGUAUGACUGACUACACCAAGUGGAUGAUGAUACUUUUAGUUCUGUGAGAGGUAUGACUGUGACUACACCAAGUGGAUGAUGAUACUUCUGUGAGAGAAAUUCCUUAAACUGGCAAGCUUGACAUGCGAGAACAAACGAAACAAACAGACGAAUGGAUAGAAGUGGCGUCAUUGUUGGAUAUCCUCUCGGUGAUUGAUAAUACACGGUAAUAAUUAAUAUCAAUAACAAUGAUGUAUUUACUAUUAUAGGUGGACUCUGCGUGGUCAAGAGUGAUCGGUCUGCUAUACUUGUGAGUCCAGUAUGUUACACCAAGAAGAACUAUUCCUUGGGCUAAUUAAUUUAAAACUGUCCUUCUAAUUUAACAUUGUAUACCAUUGUCUCACUCAGUUGUCACGAACGUUUCCUAUCACUAUUUUUGUAUUAACAUGUUAUUUAUUGAAUUGAAUAAUAAUUGUUAUACCGA
This is a long non-coding RNA of Halichondria panicea, 1390 nucleotides long. RefSeq lists it as uncharacterized. NCBI's taxonomy places the organism in Eukaryota, Metazoa, Porifera, Demospongiae, Suberitida, Halichondriidae. The transcript has 4 exons. The record is from RefSeq and is a predicted model, not a curated record.